Molecule: ribosomal RNA, 533 nt
Filed under: uncultured bacterium
Lineage: Bacteria
Description: bacterial SSU rRNA
Rfam family: Bacterial small subunit ribosomal RNA
Source: RNAcentral
GGCCUUGACAUACUAAGAACUUUCCAGAGAUGGAUUGGUGCCUUCGGGAACUUAGAUACAGGUGCUGCAUGGCUGUCGUCAGCUCGUGUCGUGAGAUGUUGGGUUAAGUCCGCAACGAGCGCAACCCUUUUCCUUAUUUGCCAGCGGGUAAUGCCGGGAACUUUAAGGAUACUGCCAGUGACAAACUGGAGGAAGGCGGGGACGACGUCAAGUCAUCAUGGCCCUUACGGCCAGGGCUACACACGUGCUACAAUGGUCGGUACAAAGGGUUGCUACCUCGCGAGAGGAUGCUAAUCUCAAAAAGCCGAUCGUAGUCCGGAUCGCAGUCUGCAACUCGACUGCGUGAAGUCGGAAUCGCUAGUAAUCGCGGAUCAGAAUGCCGCGGUCGAAUACGUUCCCGGGCCUUGUACACACCGCCCGUCACACCAUGGGAGUUUGUUGCACCAGAAGUAGGUAGUCUAACCGCAAGGAGGACGCUUACCACGGUGUGGCCGAUGACUGGGGUGAAGUCGUAACAAGGUAAGCGUAGAUGA